Molecule: long non-coding RNA, 3070 nt
Filed under: Homo sapiens (human)
Lineage: Eukaryota; Metazoa; Chordata; Mammalia; Primates; Hominidae
Description: HSALNT0403948
Source: RNAcentral
AGCAGAGCUCCAUCAGUCUCUUUUGGAGAGCUGUGAACGUGACCAGACCUAUUAAUUACUUAACUGAGGUGCUGAACUUUGAAAAUGAAAGUUCCGGUGGGGAGUUCUGUCCUUUCCAGCCUGGGGAGCUCUGUCAGGGCUCUCCUGAGCGUCUCUUUCAGCUUAUCAAGCUCGCUCGGGGACCGUCUCUGAGAGAGAGUCUCACUCUGUCACCCAGGCUGGAGUGCAGUGGCAUGAUCUCGGCUCACUGCAACCUCCGCCUCCUGGGUUCAAGUGAUUCUCCUGCCACAGCCCCUUGAGUAGUUGACGUUACAGGCACCCACCACCGCACCCAGAUACUUUUCGUAUUUUUAGUGGAGACGCUGUUUCACCAUGUUGGCCAGUUGGUCUCGAACUCCUGACCUCAAGUGAUCUGCCUGCCUUGGCCUCCCUAUGUGCUGGGUUAUAGGCGUAAGCCACUGUGCCCUGCUUCAUGUCAUUUUUAAAGAGCCCACACAACUCCUGUAGCUGCAUUACGACAACCUCAACGGCAAGACCUCGACGUGAUAUUACUCCACGUGAAAGUCUAAAAGGCGCUGAGCACAGUGCUCUGCCAAUGGUGUGUCUUCCAGCCUCGCUUGCUGAGAGAACAGAUGUGCCGGGGAAGAAAUGGACAAAGCUGGGAAAGGAGUCUAACUUCUUCAAAGCGGUUGGGCACCGCCGCCAUGUAGGAAGUGCCUUUAGCCUUCUGCCAUGAUUGUGAGGCCUCCCCAGCCAUGUGCAACUACUGGGAAAGUGAGGUGCAGAGGUAUUUUGCAACGUGCCCACAGAACCCCAGCGAGCCCGUGUUGGAGUUACAACUGUGCCUCAGGGAGCAUUCUCAGGCAGCAUUCUCUUAUGCUUCACCGUCUCACAGAUGAUAAGGUUUCAUUCAAGGACUUACAACAGCAACCCGGAGGGAGCAUUCUCAGUGGCUGGUAGAUGCCAUUUGUACUGAGCAGGACAAUUAAGCCCAAUUCUGGAAAAAUUCUGCUUUCUCUAUUCAAUGCAUUUUAUAAAUGUCUUCACUCAGCACAUUUACCCUACUAAUUAUAUUUUGCUUUGUGAUCAUGGUAUGUCAUUUGCAUUCCUUCAGCACACACUGACUGAUGGGGAAGAGAUGUUGGGUGACCCAGGCAAGCCAAACAGGAUUAAAGCCUGCUGUCUCACCAGGUGGAUAAUCCACUUUGAACACUUGAGAGGGGAGUGUUGAGAUCACACCCCUUCCCAUGGGACAUUUUUCUGGGAAAUAAAAUCGGUGACAAACACCACGCUUGAACACUCACAUUGACUCUAGGGUGCAGGCUGAGCUCAUCUGGUGCAGGGGAGUAAUGCAGAGGCGAGGCCUGAGUCAGCGCCAGGCACAGGAAGGGGAUGCAGGAUGCACCACAGCCCAUGCCUCUUAGGAGAAAAUCUGGGCCUUCUCCAUGGCUGUGUCUCUAUUAAUUUGCUAAGGCUGCCCAAAUAAAGCACCACACAUGGGCAGCUUACAUAACAGGAAUUUAUUCUCAGUUCUGGAGGCCGGCAGUCUGAGAUCAAGGUGUCAGCACAGCUGGUUCCUUCUGAGGACUGUGCAGGAGAAUCUGUUCCAGGCCUCUCCCUGAACUUCUGGGGGUCACUGGCCAUAUUUGGCAUUCCUUGGCUUAUAGAAGCAAUACCCCAAUUUCUGCCUUCAUCCGCAUGUGGCAUUCUCCCUGUGUGCGUGUUUCUGUGUCCACAUUUUUCCUUUUUAUAAGGAUACCAGUCAUGUUGGAGGUCUACCCUACUCCUUGAUGACCUUAUCUUAACUAGUUAUAUCUGCAACAAACCUAUUUCCAAAUUAGGUCACAUUCUGAGGUCCUGGGGGUUAGGACUUUAACAUAUGAAUUUUAAGAGGACACAGUCCAACCCAUAAUAGUAACUUUGUCCCUCUCUCUCUUUUGACACAAUAAUGACCCUAUGCAGGGAUAUUUCUAGGUGGCUACUGUCUGUGUGUGUGUGGUAGGGGGACUUCUAGUACUGUUUUGGAUUACUGUUGACAGACAGCAGCCUGAGGCUAGGAAGCACUUUGGGGCCAUGACUUAGAGCAAAGCUAGUAAGUUUUCUCAGGAAUUUGAACCCAGAAUUUCAUCCCCAUGGCACUUUAAUCCAGUACAUUUAAUGGCUCAGAUGACCCUGGCCUUAUCAGCCUGGUGCUCUAAGCAGCUGACCUAACAGUGUGUGCAUGCGUGUAUGCACAUGUGUAUGUUAUGUGCAUAUAUAAGUGCAUACACAUAAUGUUGGACACAGAAAUAUCUCUGAGAACUGUCCCUUUAUCACCCUUCAGAUAAAAUUAUUCUCAGCUUGCUUAGUUGCAGUGUUUCUUACUUUGCAUCUCCUAACACUUUCAUACAUUUCUCCCGAAGUGCAUAGGCAAGGAGCUUCAACGGAAUUCAAUGUCAACCUGGUCAUCUUACCAUGAUUUCUAGGAAAAAAUGUGUGUAAUUGGUUCAUGCCCUCCUUCUGUACAGAUUACAAUUCUCCUUUUUUGGCAUGAAAACCUCCAUCUGUCUUUUGAAAGCACAUGUCACUUAUUUAUUAAAGUCCUCCCCAACUUGUUCAGGUUGAGUUUCACUAGUACCUUUCUGGAGUAUUUUAUACCUAUGUUAUAGCCCCAUAUGUUAUACUUUGGAUGUCUGUUUACCUGUCUGUAAGACUGUCUGCAUAAUUCAUGGGCCUUGUACAAAAUAAGAAUUCAGGGACUCUUGUUACAAGAAACUAUUAAGAAUUUCAAGAUGGGUCAGGCGCGGUGGCUCACGCCUGUAAUCCCAACACUUUGGGAGGCUGAGGCGGGCAGAUCACGAGGUCAGGAGUUCGAGACCAGCCUGGCCAACAUGGCGAAACCCUGUCUCUACUAAAAAUACAAAAAUGAGCUGGGCGUGGUGGUGUCUGCCUGUAAUUCCAGCUACUCAGGAGGCUGAGGCAGGAGAAUCACUUGAACCUGGGAGGUGGAGGUUGCAGUGAGCCAAGAUCGCACGGUUGCACUUCAGCCUGGGAAAUGGAAUGAGACUCCAUCUCAAAAAAAAAAAAAAAA